GACGAACGCUGGCGGCGUGCUUAACACAUGCAAGUCGAACGGUGAAGCGCCUUCCUUUUUGGUGGGUGUGGAUGAGUGGCGAACGGGUGAGUAACACGUGAGUAACCUGCCCCCUUCUUCUGGAUAACCGCAUGAAAGUGUGGCUAAUACGGGAUACUAUGGGUCUGUCGCAUGAUGGGUCUGGGAAAGAUAUUGUUUCGGUGGGGGAUGGGCUCGCGGCCUAUCAGCUUGUUGGUGGGGUGAUGGCCUACCAAGGCGGUGACGGGUAGCCGGGCUGAGAGGGUGGACGGUCACACUGGGACUGAGACACGGCCCAGACUCCUACGGGAGGCAGCAGUGGGGAAUAGUGCACAAUGGGCGCAAGCCUGAUGCAGCGACGCCGCGUGAGGGAUGGAGGCCUUCGGGUUGUGAACCUCUUUCGCCAGUGAAGCAGGCCUGCCUCGUUUGUGGGUGGGUUGACGGUAGCUGGAUAAGAAGCGCCGGCUAACUACGUG
RNAcentral lists this ribosomal RNA (494 nucleotides) under uncultured bacterium. RNAcentral describes it as "partial 16S ribosomal RNA". It matches the Rfam family "Bacterial small subunit ribosomal RNA", at positions 28 to 507 of the family's 1533-position model. The record is from RNAcentral.